Molecule: ribosomal RNA, 1688 nt
Filed under: metagenome
Description: bacterial LSU rRNA
Rfam family: Bacterial large subunit ribosomal RNA
Source: RNAcentral
GUAGGAGAGCGCUCUAAGGGCAUCGAAGCCAGAUCGUGAGGACUGGUGGAGCGCUUAGAAGUGAGAAUGCCGGUAUGAGUAGCGCAAGACGGGUGAGAAUCCCGUCCACCGAAUAACUAAGGUUUCCUGGGGAAGGCUCGUCCUCCCAGGGUUAGUCGGGACCUAAGCUGAGGCCGAUAGGCGUAGGCGAUGGACAACAGGUUGAUAUUCCUGUACCAGUUGCUUUUGUUUGAGCGAUGGAGGGACGCAGGAGGCUAAGGAAUGCACACGAUCGGAAAUGUGUGUCCAAGCAGCAAGUCUGAGAACGAGUGGAAUGCUUUUUCUCUCAAGGACAAGCUGUGAUGGGGAGCGAAAUUUAGUAGCGAAGUUCCUGAUGUCACACUGCCAAGAAAAGCUUCUAGUGAGAAAGUAACUGCCCGUACCGCAAACCGACACAGGUAGUUGAGGAGAGAAUCCUAAGGUGUGCGAGAGAACUCUCGUUAAGGAACUCGGCAAAAUGACCCCGUAACUUCGGGAGAAGGGGUGCUGACCGCAAGGUCAGCCGCAGUGAAUAGGCCCAAGCGGCUGUUUAUCAAAAACACAGGUCUCUGCAAAAUCGAUAUGACGUAUAGGGGCUGACGCCUGCCCGGUGCUGGAAGGUUAAGAGGAGAGGUUAGCGCAAGCGAAGCUUUGAAUUGAAGCCCCAGUAAACGGCGGCCGUAACGAUAACGGUCCUAAGGUAGCGAAAUUCCUUGUCGGGUAAGUUCCGACCCGCACGAAAGGCGUAACGAUUUGGGCACUGUCUCAACGAGAGACUCGGUGAAAUUAUAGUACCAGUGAAGAUGCUGGUUACCCGCGACAGGACGGAAAGACCCCAUGGAGCUUUACUGCAGUUUGAUAUUGCGUGUUUGUAUCACAUAUACAGGAUAGGUAGGAGCCGAAGAUACCGGGACGCCAGUCUCGGAGGAGGCAACGGUGGGAUACUACCCUUGUGAUAUGACCACUCUAACCCGCUGCUCUUAGCGAGCAGGGAGACAGUGUCAGACGGGCAGUUUGACUGGGGCGGUCGCCUCCAAAAAUGUAACGGAGGCGCCCAAAGGUUCCCUCAGAAUGGUUGGAAAUCAUUCGUAGAGUGUAAAGGCAGAAGGGAGCUUGACUGCGAGACCUACAAGUCGAGCAGGGACGAAAGUCGGGCUUAGUGAUCCGGUGGUUCCGCAUGGAAGGGCCAUCGCUCAACGGAUAAAAGCUACCCUGGGGAUAACAGGCUUAUCUCCCCCAAGAGUUCACAUCGACGGGGAGGUUUGGCACCUCGAUGUCGGCUCAUCGCAUCCUGGGGCUGUAGUCGGUCCCAAGGGUUGGGCUGUUCGCCCAUUAAAGCGGUACGCGAGCUGGGUUCAGAACGUCGUGAGACAGUUCGGUCCCUAUCCGUCGCGGGCGUUGGAAAUUUGAGAGGAGCUGUCCUUAGUACGAGAGGACCGGGAUGGACACACCGCUGGUGUACCAGUUGUUCUGCCAAGAGCAUCGCUGGGUAGCUAUGUGUGGACGGGAUAAACGCUGAAAGCAUCUAAGUGUGAAGCCCCCCUCAAGAUGAGAUUUCCCAUCACUUUAAGUGAGUAAGACCCCUGAGAGAUGAUCAGGUAGAUAGGUUGGGAGUGGAAGUACAGCGAUGUAUGGAGCGGACCAAUACUAAUCGGUCGAGGACUUAACCG